UCGUCCAUCAACACUUUGUACUAAGACUGCUUCCAUUCCAGAUGUCUGAGUUUCUGAGGUGGCUGAUGAGGCCAAUGUGAGAACCACAGGCCUUCCACAGAUGGGGCAGGAGAUGGCUGAAAAGGGAAUUAGAAAGUAUUGCUGUUCUUUUAAGCAUGGAUUGGGGUUCGACAACUUCGCGUGAAGCCGCACUGUCCCAGGAGGAACAUUUUGAAAAGCCCUUGGUUGAACAACGCGAGGGAAUCACUUGCCAAGACUGGCCAGUUUGGCACUAGACAACGCGAAGAGCAAUAAUUGCAAAUUACAUUACCCAACCAACAGAUGUAGACGGUAUCUGUUGGGAAGAGAGAAACAAAGGCUAUCUGAAUAAAACAGAGGGGGAAAAAAGGGCGCAAAAAGAUCAUAACGAAAAUGAGUCAGGGUACCCAAUUACCCAAUCGGAAAACCGAUGCCAUGUAUCCCCAUUCCGAUACAAACACGUUUGAAAUCCAGGUUAUUAGUUCACCCAAAUUAUCCCCACAACAGAAGGAAUAACAGAUAUUGUCAGUUACACCCUAAGCAAACGGUUUUAGUUAAUUACGGAUUCUAUGUUGAUUUGCACUUGUUACAUGCAACAUUCAUAGAAGGUAAUCUAAAUGUGUUGCACACAGCAAUGCGAUAUAUACACCGUCCAUGGCGUUUGCCAACAUCACACCGCAGUUACUUGCAAAGCAUCUGAUCAGACCUAGUGCACCGAAAUGAUUUUCAACUAUUUCACAGAGCGUGGAGAGAUAAACGCACCAGCCUCCCCUGGAAAGUGAAAGCUGAGCAAUUUUAGCCACCCACGGCGAUGCACCUUGCUUCCACGUUUAUUCCAUCUCGCAAUUGUUAGGAGGCAAUGUUGCAAGACAAUAGUUCGUUUCGUGCGUUUAAUGUCAAUCCAUGUUGAAAUUGCCGUGGCCAUCACAUAAAAAAUAACAAUAGCAGGCCAGAGAUAUCUGAAGUGCUCCAAUAGUAUGGACAUUCGUUUUAUUGCAUGCUCGUUUUUCUGGGAAGUAACGGAGGUAAUAAGAUGGGUUUCUUCCAGUGGGUUGUUUUGUUCGAGAUUCAAGUUGACACAACAGUGCACGAUCUAACAGGGAAUAGAAUUUCAGUUUGAUUGUCAUACUGCAGAGGUACUGCGUUGAAAUGCAAUUUAACAUCUAAAACAAUCCUGUCUCGGAAGCACAAAACUAAUCUUAGCCACCCAGCAGCCCGCGCGUUUUCCUCCACUUGAAGAAAGCGCAGACUUUUACUUUCCCUGAUGUGGGGAAUUUGAGACUUUUAAUCCUGAUAUUUUAUGUCUAUAUAAAGGCUGACUUUUUAAUUUCACUUAUUAUAAUCAAAUUUAAAACGAUGGAUUGAAAGCAUUUGUUAUGUGAAGGCACUAGAUUUCGUUUCGAAACGUUUAUAUUGGGCAGUUAGACGACAAAUGAUAUGUGCAGAUCGAAUUAUUGUUAGUAGUCAAAAUGAAAGAAACACCGUUCUGCCUGACCAGAAAGAUGACAACGCCUGUCAAAUUUCAAAUUGAUUAAGUAUCCGGUGUUAACAUUUUGUUCCUUAUUUUCAAUGAAAGCUUUGACUUAGGUGAGUGUCCAUUAGCGAAAAAUUUCAUUGAAUUUUCACGAAGUUCUUAGGUUAACCCCAGCAUUGCAUCUUAAUACUGCAAGCAAAAAUUGGGAAGCAUUAAAGUCUCAGAACUAACAGUUCAUGGAAAGGGAGGAGGGGUUUGUUUGUUAAUACUGAGACUUUAUAUUUCAUAUGUAUAUGCUAUAGACAUUUCUAAGCGUAGUGCAAAGAUUUGUGAAGGAUUAAUCCGGUGAUCCCUUUUCUUCUCUGGGCGUUUUAUGCUUGGCGCUGUAUUUAUUUACAGUUAAAACUCAUUGGAUGCUCUCCAGUCUGAACUGGAGAAAGAUAUAUGCAGUUUGAGAUUUUCUUUUACUCACACAGAAUACAUUAUGUAUCACAUUUCAC
Molecule: long non-coding RNA, 1992 nt
Organism: Pristis pectinata (smalltooth sawfish)
Lineage: Eukaryota; Metazoa; Chordata; Chondrichthyes; Rhinopristiformes; Pristidae
Exons: 3
Source: RefSeq, a predicted model, not a curated record